RNAcentral lists this ribosomal RNA (253 nucleotides) under uncultured bacterium. RNAcentral's name for it is "partial 16S ribosomal RNA". It matches the Rfam family "Bacterial small subunit ribosomal RNA", at positions 524 to 776 of the family's 1533-position model. The record is from RNAcentral.
UACGGAGGGAGCUAGCGUUGUUCGGAAUUACUGGGCGUAAAGCGCACGUAGGCGGCUAUUCAAGUCAGGGGUGAAAGCCCGGAGCUCAACUCCGGAACUGCCUUUGAAACUAGAUAGCUAGAAUCUUGGAGAGGUGAGUGGAAUUCCGAGUGUAGAGGUGAAAUUCGUAGAUAUUCGGAAGAACACCAGUGGCGAAGGCGACUCACUGGACAAGUAUUGACGCUGAGGUGCGAAAGCGUGGGGAGCAAACAGG